This 482-nucleotide ribosomal RNA is filed under the name uncultured bacterium. Its description in RNAcentral is "partial 16S ribosomal RNA". It matches the Rfam family "Bacterial small subunit ribosomal RNA", at positions 30 to 507 of the family's 1533-position model. The record is from RNAcentral.
AUUGAACGCUGGCGGCAUGAUUUACACAUGCAAGUCGAACGGUGACAGGCCGCAAGGUGCUGACGAGUGGCGAACGGGUGAGUAAUGCAUCGGAACGUGCCCAGUCGUGGGGGAUAACUACUCGAAAGAGUAGCUAAUACCGCAUACGAUCUAUGGAUGAAAGCGGGGGACCGUAAGGCCUCGCGCGAUUGGAGCGGCCGAUGUCAGAUUAGGUAGUUGGUGGGGUAAAGGCUCACCAAGCCAACGAUCUGUAGCUGGUCUGAGAGGACGACCAGCCACACUGGGACUGAGACACGGCCCAGACUCCUACGGGAGGCAGCAGUGGGGAAUUUUGGACAAUGGGCGCAAGCCUGAUCCAGCAAUGCCGCGUGCAGGAAGAAGGCCUUCGGGUUGUAAACUGCUUUUGUACGGAACGAAACGGCUCUGGUUAAUACCCGGGGCUAAUGACGGUACCGUAAGAAUAAGCACCGGCUAACUACGUG